Molecule: non-coding RNA, 116 nt
Organism: Calypte anna (Anna's hummingbird)
Lineage: Eukaryota; Metazoa; Chordata; Aves; Apodiformes; Trochilidae
Source: Rfam
UUUGCUCAUCCCUGCAGACGACUGGCUAGGAUCAAGUGUACUAUCUGUUCUUAUCAGUUUAAUAUCUGAUAACAUUUAAAUUUUGAGGAUGAGAAAACUGAGUUUGCUCAGCCUUG